This 496-nucleotide ribosomal RNA is filed under the name uncultured bacterium. RNAcentral's name for it is "partial 16S ribosomal RNA". It matches the Rfam family "Bacterial small subunit ribosomal RNA", at positions 29 to 507 of the family's 1533-position model. The record is from RNAcentral.
AUGAACGCUGGCGGCGUGCCUAAUACAUGCAAGUCGAGCGAACGGACGAGAAGCUUGCUUCUCUGAUGUUAGCGGCGGACGGGUGAGUAACACGUGGAUAACCUACCUAUAAGACUGGGAUAACUUCGGGAAACCGGAGCUAAUACCGGAUAAUAUUUUGAACCGCAUGGUUCAAAAGUGAAAGACGGUCUUGCUGUCACUUAUAGAUGGAUCUGCGCUGCAUUAGCUAGUUGGUAAGGUAACGGCUUACCAAGGCAACGAGGCAUAGCCGACCUGAGAGGGUGAUCGGCCACACUGGAACUGAGACACGGUCCAGACUCCUACGGGAGGCAGCAGUAGGGAAUCUUCCGCAAUGGGCGAAAGCCUGACGGAGCAACGCCGCGUGAGUGAUGAAGGUCUUCGGAUCGUAAAACUCUGUUAUUAGGGAAGAACAUAUGUGUAAGUAACUGUGCACAUCUUGACGGUACCUAAUCAGAAAGCCACGGCUAACUACGUG